Hordeum vulgare subsp. vulgare (domesticated barley) is the source of this 83-nucleotide non-coding RNA. The record is from Rfam. Lineage: Eukaryota; Viridiplantae; Streptophyta; Magnoliopsida; Poales; Poaceae.
GCGAGGGUGAAGAAGAAAAUCAUUCGGAUUCCCAUUGAUUUGUAAAAAAAAAUGGGAUCUCUAACCAGCUACUAGUGACUCGU